UGGCUUUAAUUUCUAUUCGGUUAGAAGCGUGUGCUCAAGACACGUCGCAAUUCAAAGCUAAUAAUUUUAAAUUGACUUUAAUUCAAUUCGAGCUAUCUCGAAAAUUAUACCUAUGUACUUACGAAUGUGCAUUCGACUUUAGUACCUUUAUAAAGAGCUCGGUAGACCAUUGAUCGUUACAUACACAGUCAACACAUUCGGAGGUUUGACAUGUGACUCCUUGGAUCUCUUUACGAAACUAAAGAGCACCGUAUUGAAGUCUGUUAAAGCACCUUUGUAUGCAAUAACAAAUGGAACGUACUUGUGUUAGUACAUAUCGAUGAAAAGUGGUUCGAUCACAUAUAGUUCGUCGAUGGAAAGUAUAUCAGAUGUUUAUUUUGAUGACUCUUCAAAAGAAUCGAUUUAAAUUCAUCCUGCUUUAAUUUAGGAUCGAAUAAAAUUAUUUUGUUAACUAAAAACUAAGAACAGCUGGUCAACGAGAUUUUAACAGAAAACAGGAGGGCAAGACAUCUUCCUCUGAUCGAUGAUCGACAGUGGUUGGGAAAAGCGUACGAUCCCUUUAAGCCAUCAAGCAAUAAGGGGGUAACACGAAGCUGAAGUGUAAUGAAUUUCCAUCGACUUGACGAAGCACUUCGAAGCUGGAUGAAGACGAAAUGGACGCGUAAGCGAUAUUCCAAAUUCGUAAUUGGUAACUUUCGUGAGUCCCAGAGGGUGAAUCUAUUAGAAGACUGAGAAGUUCGAGUUCGGAGAAAUUUCGAGAAGACGAAAAUACUCCAUUGAGAAUUCUUGAGUAGCUCGAUAACGAGUUUCGGAUAAACUAUUGAGAGAAAUUGCGAUACGAGGGGUUGACGAUAAGGUCGUCUUACUCUCUAAUCUUUCGACGAGAAAAUGAGAUUAUAAAUGUAUUUAAAUUGAAAGAACAAAAGUACAGGUACUAACUCGUUCGAAUUUCAUUC
Long non-coding RNA from Vespa velutina, 956 nucleotides. RefSeq lists it as uncharacterized. The transcript is spliced from 3 exons. The record is from RefSeq and is a predicted model, not a curated record. Lineage: Eukaryota; Metazoa; Arthropoda; Insecta; Hymenoptera; Vespidae.